UAUCAACUGCGGUGUGCGUUAGCAACCAUCAUAUAUCCUUGAGCCUAUUUAUCAACUUCGGGAUUUAUAGUGUCAUUCUGGUGUGCAUGCCCGAGUUAAAUCGGGAAGCCUGAUGAAUGCCCGUUUAUCCCCCCUGAACUUUCCGGUUCAAGGUUGAUAGAGUGCGACGGCACCGUGGUUGAUAA
Molecule: non-coding RNA, 185 nt
Filed under: Gammaproteobacteria bacterium
Lineage: Bacteria; Pseudomonadati; Pseudomonadota; Gammaproteobacteria
Also listed under: 1 other name
Description: 6S RNA
Rfam family: 6S / SsrS RNA
About the family: E. coli 6S RNA was the first non coding RNA to be sequenced, but its function was unknown until recently. It consists of 184 nucleotides that fold into an extended hairpin structure with a large single-stranded internal bulge.
Source: RNAcentral